UUGUCUGUACUGGAGGAGACUGAAGUCCUCUAUAUACACAGAAGAGGUACAACACAAGUAGCAACAAUGCAGGCUUCACCACAGUGCCCCAGCAAUGUGUCUUUAAGACUGAUGCAGACAGACUGCCUUUAGUGAUGAGAGGAUAUUUCAGUUCUCAAGACCAUCAAUCCAUGUCUUUU
Molecule: small RNA, 179 nt
Filed under: Chrysemys picta bellii (western painted turtle)
Lineage: Eukaryota; Metazoa; Chordata; Testudines; Emydidae
Description: TUC338 (ENSCPBG00000000479.1)
Source: RNAcentral